UUUUUUUUUUUAAAGUAAAUUUUAUUCGUUUUUUAAAUAAUGAAGUACAUUGACAUAUGUAUGUAACAUGUAGACAAAAAACUAAUAAAUGACAAUCAGGUUCAGAUACAUAUAUACAGACACCAUGUUUCAUUUUCUUGCAGUUGAAGGAUGCUGUCUACUCUGUGAUGUAACAAAUUACUCUCCCUUUCUUGAUAUAACUAUAUUUACAGCAUAAUACCAUUGUUAUCUGC
Non-coding RNA from Pelobates cultripes (western spadefoot toad), 233 nucleotides. The record is from the annotation of a GenBank genome assembly. NCBI's taxonomy places the organism in Eukaryota, Metazoa, Chordata, Amphibia, Anura, Pelobatidae.